UUAGUAACGGCGAGUGAAGCGGUAACAGCUCAAAUUUGAAAUCUGGCUCCCUGCGGAGUCCGAGUUGUAAUUUGUAGAAGAUGCUUUGGGUGCUCGGCCCGGUCUAAGUUCCUUGGAACAGGACGUCGUAGAGGGUGAGAAUCCCGUAUGCGGCCGGGGUGGGUGCUCGUGUAAAGCUCUUUCGACGAGUCGAGUUGUUUGGGAAUGCAGCUCAAAAUGGGUGGUAAAUUUCAUCUAAAGCUAAAUAUGGGCCAGAGACCGAUAGCGCACAAGUAGAGUGAUCGAAAGAUGAAAAGCACUUUGGAAAGAGAGUUAAACAGUACGUGAAAUUGUUGAAAGGGAAGCGCUUGCAACCAGACUUGGGCGUCGCUGAUCAUCCAAAGUUUUCUUUGGUGCACUCGACGACGUACAGGCCAGCAUCGGUUGGGGUGGUGGGAGAAAGGUUGUAGGAACGUAGCUCUUUUCGGGGAGUGUUAUAGCCUGCGACGCAAUGCCGCCUACCCUGACCGAGGACCGCGCUUCGGCUAGGAUGCUGGCGUAAUGGUUGUAAGCGACCCGUCUUGAAACACGGACCAAGGAGUCUAACAUCUAUGCGAGUGUUUGGGUGCGAAACCCAUGCGCGAAAUGAAAGUGAACGUAGGUGAGAACCCUUCGAGGGGGCAUCAUCGACCGAUCCUGAUGUCUUCGGAUGGAUUUGAGUAAGAGCAUAGCUGUUGGGACCAAAA
Molecule: ribosomal RNA, 725 nt
Filed under: Phyllactinia fraxini
Lineage: Eukaryota; Fungi; Ascomycota; Leotiomycetes; Helotiales; Erysiphaceae
Description: eukaryotic LSU rRNA
Rfam family: Eukaryotic large subunit ribosomal RNA
Source: RNAcentral